AUUGAACGCUGGCGGCAGGCUCAACACAUGCAAGUCGAGCGGGGUGAUGGUGCUUGCACUAUCACUUAGCGGCGGACGGGUGAGUAAUGCUUAGGAAUCUGCCUAUUAGUGGGGGACAACAUCUCGAAAGGGAUGCUAAUACCGCAUACGUCCUACGGGAGAAAGCAGGGGAUCACUUGUGACCUUGCGCUAAUAGAUGAGCCUAAGUCGGAUUAGCUAGUUGGUGGGGUAAAGGCCUACCAAGGCGACGAUCUGUAGCGGGUCUGAGAGGAUGAUCCGCCACCCUGGGACUGAGACACGGCCCAGACUCCUACGGGAGGCAGCAGUGGGGAAUAUUGGACAAUGGGGGGAACCCUGAUCCAGCCAUGCCGCGUGUGUGAAGAAGGCCUUAUGGUUGUAAAGCACUUUAAGCGAGGAGGAGGCUCUUUUGGUUAAUACCCAAGAUGAGUGGACGUUACUCGCAGAAUAAGCACCGGCUAACUCUGUGCCAGCCGCCGCCGUAA
This 503-nucleotide ribosomal RNA is filed under the name uncultured bacterium. RNAcentral describes it as "partial 16S ribosomal RNA". It matches the Rfam family "Bacterial small subunit ribosomal RNA", at positions 30 to 523 of the family's 1533-position model. The record is from RNAcentral.